Long non-coding RNA from Hirundo rustica (Barn swallow), 1728 nucleotides. RefSeq lists it as uncharacterized. NCBI's taxonomy places the organism in Eukaryota, Metazoa, Chordata, Aves, Passeriformes, Hirundinidae. The transcript has 3 exons. The record is from RefSeq and is a predicted model, not a curated record.
CCUGAGGGACUGCACUUGUUCUCUGAUCUCUUUUCAGAGCGAGCAUUUAAUGAGGAUGACAGUGCCCCGAAAGACAAGCAGAUAGUUGAGAAUGGUGUGAAUCAGGAAGAAGCGACCCAGGAUGCAGACGGUGGAAAUGGGGAGCAUCUAAACUCUUCCAGCUGCAGUAAAGAAGAUCUUAAAGCAAUGAAGUUGUCAGAGAUUCACCAAGAAGCACUUUGAAGAGAGGCUGAACUGUUUCCAGCGCCUAUUUUUCUACUAUGUGACAACAAAUAGGCCAAAUCUUUUGAAUUGUUUUGUAUAUGGUUUUAACAAAUGGUGCUCUACUAACACACCAAAGCUUCUUUGUAGUUGAUACUUAGAGAUUUACAAAGUUUUAUAUAUUUGCAUGAAUGUGGACAAAUCAAAAACUGAUCAGCUUUCUAUGCACUUUUUUAUCAGUGCCUUUUUACGGUCAGAGAAAAGCUUCAUCCUUCAGCAGGCCCAGAUGGAUGGAAGUUUGCAUUUUCUAGUCUUGGUUCUAGACAAUGCUAUGUCCUAGAGUUGGCAGAUGCCUGGCGAACUGAUCAUCUCCUGACAGUGGUUCAUUCUGUGAUAGAACUACGUAUCAUCUUGUUGUUGCACUGGAACAAAGCUGCUGUUAACAGCAGGUUUCGGCUUUUCAUAAAGCUUUUUAUCUUCUUUGAACUUUUAGGACCUUUCUAUUUAAGCCUUAGCUCUUCAUAUUUUUCUGAGAAGGCCAGUUGACUUCUACUCAUUUCUGGGAAAUAAUAGUAUGUUUUAAAGUUGCUUGAGACUAGAACAAAAACUUGAAAGCUGAGGUUGUGUAUAUAAUGAAGAUCAAAAAUAAUCAAAGAGAAAAACACCAUGCAUUAAUAUUUUCAGAACAUCAAGCUAUGGAGUGUUUUUCAUUAUGUUUACAUGCUGGUUGUUCAUGAAAGUUGGAAGCCAGUUUAGUUCAUUUUGAACUUGUUAUGCGUAAAGAAUCAUGAAGAUUUGACACUGAUAACCAAACAUUAGAAGUUUCAGCUUUCUCUUUGUUUCAGGUUAUGCCCUUUCUACUCCACAAUUUCUUCUGCUAUUUACAGCUGUACUCCAUACAUGUACAGCGUACAAAUGUCCAAAAGCCCUACUUUUGGUAGCACUAGACCUUUUACCUUUUGUGCUGCAUGUAAAUAUAAUUUAUUGUCCUAGGGUGACUCUGUGAUGCUUGUAUCCCCAACUGUCUGUUCUGUUUGUGCUGUAUGUUGAGUUCUGUGCUUUUAAGGACUGGUUCUAAGAGCAAGAGGUGCGGAGUUUGUUUCGAGAAAACUGCCUGACUCUUCCACAUUCUUCUCCGGACGCGGUGUUCACCGGAGGCUUGGAGACACUGCAGGACAGAGAUCUUUUUGCUUUUAGUUAGUUUCAGCUAGCUAGACCAAAGAAGUUCCCUGGACUGUUUUUUUUCCCCUUUUUUCUUGGGACUGUUUAAAUCUGCUCUGGACUGAAAACCCAGGGGAUCACUUGGGGCUUACACCUGCGGCCCACCGGGGCCUGGACCUCGGCAUUUUCCAGUAGUACCAGAAGAACUGAAACUAAUGAGAGACUGAGAGAGAGCCGACCUACAUCCACAGGAAGAACUUUCUCAAUUUGCCAUCUCACUCCAGAACGAGAGGUUUUAUUGUUUCGUAUUAUUCAUUCUUUAUACUUAUAUGCACUUUGUUUGUUAAGUAAAAUAGUUUUUUUCCA